CCUGACGCAGCGACGCCGCGUGGGAGAUGACGGCCUUCGGGUUGUAAGCCUCUUUCAGUAGGGAAGAAGCGAAAGUGACGGUACCUGCAGAAGAAGCGCCGGCUAACUACGUGCCAGCAGCCGCGGUAAUACGUAGGGCGCAAGCGUUGUCCGGAAUUAUUGGGCGUAAAGAGCUUGUAGGUGGCUUGUCGCGUCUGCCGUGAAAACCCGAGGCUCAACCUCGGGCGUGCGGUGGGUACGGGCAGGCUAGAGUGUGGUAGGGGAGACUGGAACUCCUGGUGUAGCGGUGAUAUGCGCAGAUAUCAGGAAGAACACCGAUGGCGAAGGCAGGUCUCUGGGCCAUUACUGACGCUGAGAAGCGAAAGCAUGGGGAGCGAACAGGAUUAGAUACCCUGGUAGUCCAUGCCGUAAACGUUGGGCACUAGGUGUGGGGAACAUUCCACGUUUUCCGCGCCGUAGCUAACGCAUUAAGUGCCCCGCCUGGGGAGUACGGCCGCAAGGCUAAAACUCAAAUGAAUUGACGG
Molecule: ribosomal RNA, 524 nt
Filed under: uncultured bacterium
Lineage: Bacteria
Description: bacterial SSU rRNA
Rfam family: Bacterial small subunit ribosomal RNA
Source: RNAcentral